GCAUAUCAAUAAGCGCAGGAAAAGAAACCAACAGGGAUUGCCUCAGUAACGGCGAAGUGAAGCGGCAACAGCUCAAAUUUGAAAUCUGGCCUCUCGGGGUCCGWAGUUGUAAUUUGUAGAGGAUGUUUCGGGUACCGCCUCGGUCUAAAUUUCUUGGAACAGAAUGUCAAAGAGGGUGAGAAUCCCGUCUUGGACCGGUGGUAGGGCCUAUGUGAAACUCCUUCGACGAGUCGAGUUGUUUGGGAAUGCAGCUCAAAAUGGGUGGUAAAUUUCAUCUAAAGCUAAAUAUUGGCCAGAGACCGAUAGCGCACAAGUAGAGUGAUCGAAAGAUGAAAAGCACUUUGAAAAGAGAGUUAAACAGUAUGUGAAAUUGUUGAAAGGGAAGCGCUUGCAACCAGACUUGAGCGCGGCGGUUCCCCCUUGCUUCUGCUUGGGUUACUCCGCCGUGUCCAGGCCAACAUCGGUUCUGGGGGUCGGUCAAAGGCCUUGGGAAUGUAUCUACCCACGGGUAGACUUAUAGACCAGGGUGUCAUGCGACCUCCCGGGACCGAGGAACGCGCUUCGGCUCGGAUGUUGGCGUAAUGGUUGUCAGCGACCCGUCUUGAAACACGGACCAAGGAGUCUAACAUCUAUGCGAGUGUUUGGGUGUCAAACCCGGAACGCGGAAUGAAAGUGAACGGAGGUAGGAAGCUUCGGCUGCACUAUCGACCGAUCCUGAAGUUUACGGAUGGAUUUGAGUAAGAGCAUAGCUGUUGGGACCCGAAAGAUGGUGAACUAUGCCUGAAUAGGGUGAAGCCAGAGGAAACUCUGGUGGAGGCUCGCAGCGGUUCUGACGUGCAAAUCGAUCGUCAAAUUUAGGUAUAGGGGCGAAAGACUAAUCGAACCAUCUGGUAGCUGGUUCUGC
This 904-nucleotide ribosomal RNA is filed under the name Cladophialophora immunda. RNAcentral describes it as "LSU rRNA". It matches the Rfam family "Eukaryotic large subunit ribosomal RNA", at positions 38 to 960 of the family's 3401-position model. Lineage: Eukaryota; Fungi; Ascomycota; Eurotiomycetes; Chaetothyriales; Herpotrichiellaceae. The record is from RNAcentral.